UAUAUGAUAUGGAAACAUCUUGCAUGUCAAACAUAUUCCGAGAACGCAUGCCUAUUUCACCAUUUCCAUUGAUAAUUUAACAGAGCAGACAUUGGCCUAUUGCAACCUACUACAGCGCAUGCACACCUUAUUACAAAUCUGACAGGACUAUCACCUAAAGAAGGAACAAAACAGCGGACACGGCGACCGCACCGAGCAGACCAACUCCGCCGGUGACGGCGUGACGGGAAGAGGAGCUUGCCGGACCAGGCGCUGGGGCGGGCGCGUGAUGAUGUGGUGACGGCGCAGGGGAAUGCUGAGUGGGCGCGUGAGCCGCCGCUGUAACUUGUUGGCUGCCAAGCCGCUCGGUAUGGUUGGGGACGGAUGUUGACGAGGACGGAGAGUGCGCCGGAGCAUGGUGAUGAUGAUGAUGGCGAUGGCGAUGGUGGUGGUGGUGAGCCGGCGCCGGUGCUGUAGCGUGGUGGCCGUGGUGGUGCGGGCUUGGUGCCUUGUGUAGCUCGUCGGCGUCGAGGUGGUACGGCGACGGCGCCUCAGAGUGAUGGCCGCGGUACCACUCCGUGUCUGUAGAAGUGUCCAGCUCAUCCGCGUCGAUGUGGUGGCUCGGCGACGGGGCCGGAGGGUGGUGAUGGUGGUGGUNNNNNNNNNNNNNNNNNNNNNNNNNNNNNNNNNNNNNNNNNNNNNNNNNNNNNNNNNNNNNNNNNNNNNNNNNNNNNNNNNNNNNNNNNNNNNNNNNNNNNNNNNNNNNNNNNNNNNNNNNNNNNNNNNNNNNNNNNNNNNNNNNNNNNNNNNNNNNNNNNNNNNNNNNNNNNNNNNNNNNNNNNNNNNNNNNNNNNNNNNNNNNNNNNNNNNNNNNNNNNNNNNNNNNNNNNNNNUGAUGAUGGUGGUGGCUCGGCGACGGGGCCGGAGCGUGGUGAUGGUGGUGGCUCGGCGACGGGGCCGGAGCGUGGUGAUGAUGGUGGUGGCUCGGCGACGGGGCAGGAGCGUGGUGAUGAUGAGCGCUCGGCGCGGGGGCAAGAUGGCCAGGAUGGUGAGCGGGGCUGGGCGCUUGAGCCGGCGCGUGGUGGUGGUCCUCGUGCGCCGAGGAGAGCGCGACCAGCGAGGCCAGCAGCAGUGCCAUCACCACGGCGGUUGGCGAGAGAGGAGUCGCCAUGGCAACAAGCUUUGGGAGUGGUGGUGGUGGAAUUGUUGCUGUGGUUGUGACAGUCGGGGAGCGGGUCUAUAUAUAGCGACGAGCACGCGUAUCUGGAAGAGGGGAGGGGGCCGUCCUCUCUACUAUGGAAAGUAUUCAAUCUUGCGCAUUAAUGCUUACUAUAAAAAUGCGAUUUCCAUUGAUUCGUUUCCGAUCGUCCAAUUCGCUACACUGGCAGGAAAUAAAUGGGUGUCAUUUAUUCGUGUAUACUCUCUCCGUCCAGAAAUAUUUGUGCUAGAAACGGAUGCAUCUAAAUUUAUAUUAAUUAUAGAUACAUCCAUUUUAUUAAACUUAUUUUAAUUAUAGAUACAUCCAUUUUAUUCAUUUCUAGGACAAGUAUUUUUGGACGAAGGGAGUAGCUGGCAGCAUUAUGGGAACAUAUGGACAUUUGACUGUGAUCUGUCAAAUAUCGUGUGAACCGUUGAGUAUAUUUACGAUAUUUAAAUUGUUGCCCACAGAAAAAAUCUCGACCAUUUAUUAGAAAAAUCAUAAUUGCAUCACGAUUAAUAUUAUAAAAAUCUUCCUAAAAAAGAGAGGGAAAAACCUACGACGCUUGCAGCAGACUGUAAGCAUCACAGGAGGCGGCCAAGGCCCAAGGGGCCGUCUGAUCUGGCAAGGUGCUGGCUGGAGCUGGCCCAAAUGUGCGGCUCGCUGGAUCAAACGACGGUUUUGGGCAUAUGCCGUGCAACGAGCCCAGAAAAAAUUACUCCUUUGGGGUGACCGGUGGUUGUUGGACUAAUUAAUGAUGUACAAACUUUACAAGAAAUAACUCGUAGCAUGGAGGUGCACAUUGCAAAAAUUAUAGAGAGACCAACAUUUAUUCUAACCAAGUUUGCUGGAAAGCAAGAACCUAAUCCGGGUGAGAGUGUACAGACGACGGGUGUGAGUCGUUGAACAUCGAUCCAUUCGCGCCGCCCGCAACCUCCAGUUCUCCGGUGCUCCUCGCCUCGCCGCCGCAUGAGGUCCUACUGGCGAAGUCCGGCCAGGGCUGGGGACGACACCGACUGGGCGUUUCCCUGCGGUGCCAUCACUCUCUCCUGGUUUGGUUUUUGUUGAUGGCUACGACUCGUGGGCGGUACCGGCUAGAUCUGUGGUGGAUUGUGGCCAUGGGAUCCAUCUUUCCACUCAAAGUAUUAAUUUCUUCAAUAGCAUGCACUUUUUUAGUAGAAGAUUUUUCGGUAUGCCAUUAAAAAUAAUUUGAUAUAAUAUUAUUUAGGAGGUUAGUAGCUUCUCCUAAUGUGAUUUCCAUAAAAGUACCACCCGCGACAAAAUCUAAAAGAUUUCUAGAUGCAAAAUUCAAUCUAGCAUAAAAAAUUUGUAUGAUCAUCCAUAAACUUAAACCAUGAGUAGGGCAAUUUCUUAUCAUUAAUUUCAUCCUCUUCCAAGAUUGUGCAACAUGUUCAUGAUCAAAUUGUUUAAAAUUUAUUAUAUUGUUCUUAAGAGAGAUGAUCUUAACGGGAGGAAAAUACUUGGAAAUAAAAUUAUCCUUACACUUAUCACAUGAAUCAAUACUAUUUUUAGGCAAGGAUGAAAACCAAGUUUUAGAGCCAUCUCGUAAUGAGAAGAAACAACUUCAAUUUAACAAUAUCAUUAUCCACAUCUUUUUUCUUUUGUAUAUCAUGCAAUUUAGCGAAAGUAUUAAGAUAGGAUGCAACAUCUUCAUUAGGACUACCAAAAAUUGUUGAUUCAACAAAGCGGCAUUAAUUUUAUAAGAUUCCGCACUAGUGAUGGGAGCAAUUGGAGUACUAAUAAAAUCAUUAUUAUUAGUGUUGGAAAAAUCACACAACUUAGUAUUUCUUGAGACAUCGUGACAAAGCAAGCAAUCUAGCACACAAGAAAAAAAAGCAAAUGAAAAGACAAAUGGAAAGAAUGCAAAUAAAAAGGCAAAUAUUUUUGCUUUUUCUGAAAAUGUUUUAGAAAUGGGGGAGAGAAAGAUGAGAGGCAAAUAGAGAAUAAUGUAAGUGCAGGAUAUGAUAGUUUAUGGUAGGUACUUGGUAGGCUUGAUGUAGAUCCUCCCAGAUAACGGCGUCGGAAAUUCUUUCAGCUACUUCUUGAGCUUGCAUUGGUUUUUUCCUUGAAGAGGAAAGGGUGAUGCAGCAAAGUAGAGAUAAGUAUUUCCCUCACUUAAGAACUAAGGUAUCAAUCCAGUAGGAGAAACACACAAGUACCCAAUGAUUGCACUUACACAAACAAACAAAUACUUGCACCAACGCAAAAAGGAGUCGUCAAUCCCUUCACGGUUACUUGGAAGGAUGAGAUCUGAUAGAGAUAGUAUAAAAGAUAAGUAAAAGUGCAAAAUAAAGUAAAGAUAAAUAAAUUGCAGCAAGGUAUUUUUGUGUUUUUUGAUUUAAUAUGAUAAAAAUAGACCCGGAGGCCAUAGUUUUCACUAGAGGCUUCUCUCUUGAAAGGAAGCAUACGGCGGGUAAACAAAUUACUGUUGAGCAAUUGAUAGAAAAGCGCAAAGUUAUGAUGAUAUCUAAGGCAAUGAUCAUGAAUAUAGGCAUCACGUCUGUGAAAAGUAGACUGACUCCUGCCUUCAUCUACUACUAUUACUCCACACAUCGACCGCUAUCCAGCAUGUAUCUAGUGUAUUAUGUUAACAAGAACGAAGUAACGCCUUAACCAAGAUGACAUGAUGUAGAGGGAUAGAUCCAGUCAAUAUGAAUAAACCCCAGCUUUUUAUCCUUAGUAGCAAUAAUACAAAUACGUGUCAUGUCCCUUCUGUCACUAGGUAUUGUCGGAUUUCGGGUGCCGCAAACCCUUGAGAGGCUCGAACUCUGGGGUGCAUGCGAAGAACUCAACCUCCCCAGUCUGCCUACUCGCCAAUCUCAUAGCCUAGGUCGACGAACUCGAAGGAAAGGGGACACGAUAGUUUACCCAAGUUCGGGCCACCUUGCGGUGUAAAACCCUACUUCUGCUUUGUGGUGGAUUUGGCUCGAAGGGCCGAGGAUGAACUAGUACAGAGGAGAACAACCUCAGGAGGUGUGUUCUUGAGCUCGAGCAAGCUGGUGAGGGUGGAAUUGAUUCGAUCCUCUCCUAUGGUGGUGGCUAGGUCCUAUUUAUAGUGGCCUUGGUCCUCUUCCCAAACAAAGGCGGGAAGGGAUCCCACAACGGCCAAAUUCGAAGGGAGACAACUAGUACAUCUUAUCCUGACAAAAGUGGUCUUCGCCUGUAAAAGCUUCUGGUCAUGAUGCCACGGUGGGCUUGGCGAUGACCUCCAUCCUGCCGUCCUGGCGAUCUUGGCCUUGUUGCACGGGAAUGGAAACCUUUGGCUGAUUCCCCGGGACUCCGUGCCUGCGCUUGUCUUGGCACCAAAGAGGAAACUGGUACACUGUGCCCGCUGGCGCCCACCUGGCCUUGGUCAUCAUGGCUCACGUCACCCGAACCUCGCGAGGUGAGCCUUGCAUAGAAAUCUUCGCUCCUGGGGAGCCAUCCUAAGGAGGCUGCUCCCUUGGAGGUCUUGGUGUCGUUCGCCUCGCGAGGCUUGGCCCCUCGCGAGGGUCUUGAGUCGUCGAAGUCGAGGCUGGGCCUGUCAGGACCCCGAUCCUAAGUCACACUGAUCUAGCAUGUAACACAUCAUAUCACUUUGCGGCCUCACGCACGGUAUUCCCACAGGUGCCACCUUACCUGGCCCGGGACUGUUUGCGCCUUUUGGCUCACGUAUAUGACAGUGCCGCUAGCAUCCAUAUGACAAAGAACCCGGGUCGACAUGACUAGUUGUAAAUCCAAGGUGACGCUAACUUACAGGGACAGGCAUACAUGACCCAGCAACGAAUGUGUCAAUCAACAACGUAUGAACCCAAGUUGUAGCAAGCUACAGGGACUUAAAGGAACAACGAGUGACAUUUCCCCGAAGAGACAGACACAAGAACGAAGAAGGACACAUGCCGGCCAGCCUAAGUGUUCUGGAGCAGUAGCAAGCUACCAUGGCUCAGUGGAAGCACUAGGAGACAUUUCCUGGUAAGAGAGGCUACCAAGAAUAAACAACUAGGUUGUCGGAUCCCACACAUACCAAGCAUUUCAAUGACAUACACACAAUAUGCUCGAUAUGUGCAAAUACAACAUGGCAUCACAACAAAACUCUACGACUCAAAGUAUUUAUUCAAUAGGCUCCAAGGAGCCAAGUAUUACAAUCAUGGGUAUCAUGACCCAACAAUCAGAGCAUACAAACUAAAAGCACAUGCAGAAGCUUAACAUGUCUGAGUACAUACAACUACAAAUGAAAAGGGCUGAGAAGCCUGACUAUCUACAAGACCCUCCAGAGGGCACAAGAUCGUAGCUGAGGUAACAAGCUAAAUGUCGAAGUCCAUGCAAAACUACUCGUGAGACUGGAGUCUCUCUGCAAAAACAUAAAUUAAGCAAACGUGAGUAUAAAUGUACCCAACAAGACUUACAUCAGAACUAUCUACACAUGCAUCAGUAUCAACAAAAGGGAUGGUGGGGUUUAACUGCAGCAAGCCAACUUUGACUCGGUGGCUAUCCUGAACUACGACUGCAAGUAACUCUUUUGAGGUGGCGCACACGAGUCCACAUAUUCACCAUAACAAUACACCACUAUGGAUCCGCUCCCGUCUCCCUACGAGAACGCCAUCCAUAGCACUCACGCUUUUCUUGCGUAUUUUAGAGUAUCCAUUUUCACUUGUCUAUGAACUAUACAGGCAACCCAGAGGUCCUUUACCGCGGAGGUGGCUAUUCGGAUAGAUCAUUUAUAACCCUGCAGGGGUGUACUUCUGCACACACGCUCUCGCCACUUACUGCCAUGUACACGUCAUGUAUCUCGGCAAUCUUCAAGCGAAAGCCUGGUGAGGGUGUCGGCCAUGAUCUGACUAACCACACAAGUCCCUAGUCCAGGUUUAUCGCAUAUUCAGGUUCCAUCUGUAGGGAGUCCGGCCGAGGUUUCCACAUACGGCCCCGAACGAUGUGUGCAGGGUUCCCAGGUCACCAAACGGGCGACUCGGUACAUCGGGCCACAUGCCUACUGCAUCACAGCCCACCCCUCAGGUUAGCGCUGCGCACGGCCUCCAGCAUACUACAAACACCAGAAACUACUUGCAACUCCCGGAUAGAGGACAUGGGCGGUUAAUAAGUUGAGAGGGUCCAUUGGUUUCAGGUCCAUCGCGUGGUAGUAGUUGUUCAUGGAUCACAAACACAGAACUCAGUUCCUGAGGACGGUUUCAAUGAGACAACCCACCACGUACUCCUACAUGGCCUCUCACCGCUAAUUUUACCAAAUCAUGUUCACACACUUAGCUCUCACAUAGUAGGACAUGUUCAUCACCAUUCCAAUGCAUCCCCGAUGAAUCAGACCUGACUCAACUCUAAGCAGUAGCAGGCAUGGCAAACAAGCAUGAAUGAGUAGGCACAUCAGGGCUGAAACAACUCCUACUCAUGCUAGUGGGUUUCAUCUAUUUACUGUGGCAAUGACAGGUCAUGCAGAGGAAAGGGGUUAAACUACCACAUCAAGUAACAGAUGAAUCAUUGUUGUCCUAAUGCAGUAAAAGAGAGCAGGAGUGAGAGAGUGGGUUUGUAUUGGAAUGAACAAGGGAGUUUUUGCUUGCCUGACACUUCUGAACAUAGUAUAGUUCUUCAUGGGUGUCAUAGAUCACAUCGUCGGAACGUCGUCUACACAGAGGGGACAAAUACCGGCAAACAAGGAAGAACACAACCAAUGCAAUGCACAGUAUGAUGCAUGAUCAUGACAUGGAAAUAUGCCGUGAUUGAGCUAAUGCAACUAAAACCAGAAGGGUUUGAGCUAUUUGAACCCAAGGUUCAAAUUCAAAGUCAAACUAAGAAUUUAUAAAGUGCAUUAUCAUGUUUUGAUCUAACAGCAAGGUUAAGUUGUUUAAACAUGCAUGAAACCAGUACAGAUGGAUAGAUUGAAUUUUUUGAUCAUUUUUCAUAUAUAAAACUUUUCAUUCUGAGUUACGGUUGAAUUUAUAUGAUUUUUAGAAGUUUAAAGAAUUUUCUAGAAUUUCUAAAUCUUUUCUGAUUUAUUUUAAUUCCAGAAAGGCUUUACCGCGUCAGCACCGCGUCAUCAUGACGUCAACGAGUCAACAUGGUGCGGUCCUGGUCAAACCUGACGUGUGAGUCCACACGUUAGUGACUAACUAACUAACCUAAGUUAAUUAGUGUUAAACUAAUACCAACUGAAAGUGUUAGUGGAGUUAAUUAAACUUAAUUAAAAACUAAACUAGGAUUAGCAAGGGCCAGGGCCCACUCGUUAGCGACCCAGGGGAGGUCAAACCCCUGGUCAGAGGGGUCAGACCCACCGGCGAGGCCGAACACGGCGGAGGCUUCGGGUUCACUACUCCGGCGACCAAACGGCCGGCGGAGAGCAUCUACAUGGAGUUGGCGGGGUGGCGCAUCCAGUGGUGGCGGUGGCUGAAGCUAGGGUGGUCGGAGUCGACAAUGGCAAGUUCUAAGGCGGUGACCGAAGUUUGAGCAAGCUCGGGUUCGGGGGCUACGGUGUGCAAAAGGACGAACCGAAGCAACCGCGAGGCUCACGUGUUGUUGUGAAGCGUUUGGAUGCACUGGCGCGACCAAAUGGUCGCCGGAGCUACGCUAGCGACGAGCUCCUGUGGCGGAGCAUCUCAGCUCCGAAGGAGGAGGCGGCUAGUGGACAAAAUGAGCUCGAGGAGGAGGGGGAGAGAUGGCGGAGCUCACAGUGAGUGCAACGGUGGCCUCGGCGAGCUCGGGGAGGGGCUGGAGCGUGUGGGGCGGUGAGGGGGAUCUCUAGCAGUUGACGAUGAAGAUGAAGACGACGACGUUACUUCAGGCGUCCCGCGGGCGCGUGCUUCGUCUUGGUGCUCCGUGGUGUCAAGGUGGAGCCUCUGGACAGCACGGAGAGGCGGGGUGGUGGCUCUGGCCACGACAACGACGAGCGGCGGCGACAGCGACGCUCGGAUGGUGCAGGGGACAGAACAAGAGGAGGGGAGAGAGAUCCAGGGGGAGUGAGAGGUGGUCGGGGAGGUGCGUGGCGAAGCGAGGGAGUUCCAGGGGGUCAAGGGGGCAGCUAGGCAGGGAGGAGGUGGCCGCACGGCGGUGCGCGUGCGUCGGGCACGCGCCCGUCCUCCUGGCAGGGAGGAAGACGGCAGGAGGGGGUGGCCAGGCGGGCUGGGCCGCCAGCUGGGCUGCCAGGUAAGGCCCAGGUGGGUUUCCCUCUCUCUCUGCUUUUUCUUCCGUUUUCUAUUUUCUAUAAUUGUUUUGGCUUUAUUAAAAAAUGCCAGCGCAUUUCCAAAAAUCGUGAGACUGCUUGUGGCCACUGUUUGGAUUAUUUCCAACAGUAAACAUUUCAGUUCAUGGAUAUUUGGACGUUUAAAAUAAUAUAUAAAAAUUAAAUGCCCAAAUGCAAAUAAGGUAUGAUUUAAUUCAGUGACCCAAUGUUGUCCUAGAAAAAUGUGAACCAUUUUUGUUAGAGGUUCUAGACCAAGGCAAAGAUGAUGAACAUUUUUGAAGGGCAUUUCAGGUUCAUUGAAAACUAUUUUAGUAACCCUAGUUGGAUUAAGUGGUGCUGGGGGUUUCUGUCAUCCCCAUUUCCAAGUUUCUGAGGAAUUUAAACAUGAUGCAACACUCUAAUGCAUGCACUGACUAGGGUUGUGACAACUCACCCUCACUAAACAAGGAUCUCAUCCCGAGAUUCAAGCAUAGGGUAAGAUGAAGGGGGGACACAGACUAACACAAUCUUCACGAUCCAGGUUGCACUUCAUAAGAACAUUGAUUCGAUCACCAUCUUUGUCUCGAUGUCUUGCUCUGAGAACUCCAACCAACAUGACAACGAGAGGAAAGGGAAAACUCUAGAAGGAUCGAUCUUCUCGAAGAUUGAACAACUCAGGAUCAACUCACGGAGUGAGACAUUGAAACAUCUCUCGAGCUGAGACACGAAGCAUACAUCCAAAGGGAUGGAGUGAAACAGAUGAUGAAGGCUCACUAGGUAGGUAACAAUUCCACACCUAAGAAGAUGGUGGACGAAGUCAGAGUAGCGAGGAGUUAAUUGCUAUGAUUCCAUAGCAGGGCACCUCAAGGAAGGUGACUUGUAGAAUCAUCCCUUAAGUGGCAAAAAUAAUUACUUUUGAUUCAGAGAACAUUGAAAUUCUCUAUACCAGCCUAAGGCAAAUCAUAGUCGAUCAUUUGAAGGAGUCCGAAAGAAUGACAUACUCGGACUAGGAUGGGUGAGGUGGACUACCUUUUUGAUGACAACACAAUGGAUGAUUUUAUUUAUCAUCAAAAAUGGAUGGAACCCAUGGUAGGUCCACUUUUGAAGAUGAUUCUGAAUAACAACCACUGGAAGGGUAGACCAUAGUGAGAUGGCACACUGGCGAUGCAAGAUGGGAACAAGAUGAAAAUGCUGGGAAUGAUUCUAGUAACUGGGGAGAAACCCAACAGUAGAGAGUGAGUCCACUGUUUGAAAGGUUAUAGCAUAACCGAGGAAACUGAGAGCACUAUGCAAUUAAUGUCGACAAAAAAACCUAGUGCUUGCGCGUGCUCUCAAGAACUUGAGCAUUUCCAUAUUCAUCAAGGUUUUACCAACAUCUGCCAGAUCUUGGUGACACCUUGUACUACCAUGAUGAAUAGUGAUGGAGGGUGCAGAUGCAAGGGAAGAUAACAUCUUCUCAGAUUUCACCUUAGCGAGGCCAAGGACACAAAAUCUAGAUGAUCGACCGAGAGACAUUUAGCAUUCCGCUUCUAAUUCUCCUUGAUGUACUAGCGUAACCCAUUUAUAGAUAUGGUUUGGUAUCUUGAACAUCAAGUAAAAGGUCGGACUUUGGGAGCUCAGGAAUCCAUAAGGAAUAACUAUGGAAGUAAAUCUUACGAAAUCCUUAUGGGGAGGUGGCCAACUGCCUCAAUCAAAAUACUACAAUAACUGCUCUUCCGGCUGGGUGUGUUGGCCACGACAUCCACUUUACGGGUUACAAAGAGACCAAUAUUAUAGUUCUUGGAAAAUGUUCCAACCAUCAUAUCUGCCUGAGAUUCAGAUCUGGUUGGUGUCAGGAUAUUCUAGACUCAUCAAGUCUAGAGAGAAAAAUGAAAGUUUGCAACACAAAUCGACGAGACGGCAUUGCGAGAUUCUCGGGGAAUGAACUGCGAUAGCAAGCUCCAAAACAUGAGCUGGUUCUGCUACACAUAUGUGAACACGCUGUCCCAGACAAGCAUGACCACAUAGUAGUCUUAUAAUAAAACACUACCGAGUUCAGGUGGGGAACCAUCAUUUCAGAUAACGAAGUCCUUGAUUAAGCCCGGGUUAGCUCUUAAAAGGAACUCCUUCUCCUGGAACAAAUCGGUUAGUGGCUUGGUGUGCUAGCGAUACAUAUGGAGUGAAGGUUGCAAGUCUCCAAACCAUAGAAUACUUCGCACGUAUGCAUGACCUAUUUGGGAUGAUUCCAGAGGAAGCAACAUUGACUUUCUCGAAUUCACGGCGGCAACUUGCAUCAAAUGCACAUGAAUGGGAGAAAAUCACUUCUUACAUCCGAACAUAUGCUUCAUGAGCGGGACAUGAAGAUAAUGCUUAUAAAAGUUUCCAACACUAGCUGGAUGUUCAACACAAAUCAUGGAGAGGAUAAAAUGCUACUGAUGAGCUCAACAACAAGUCAUCGAGAUUCCCAUGGAGAUGGAAUUCCACAAUUAUGUGAACAAGGUGAUAGCAUUGGUCAGACCCAAAAGAUAUAAUGGUGUAUGCUUGAGGAAACAAUCAUGAGUAAGACAACAUUACGAAUAUCGUUGGUACUGAUUUGAUUUGACGAUAGCCCAUACUUAAAUCAAAGAUUCAGGUAAGAUAAUAGGUCCAGCAAUUGAUCACGAAGACCAAUCAAUGGAGAUAUCAUAUUUCUUCAACACACAUAAACAAAAAUAUCCCUUUAUAAUGAACUAAGUUAGGCAAGCUUUUAUCUUCCAACUCUCCAAGUUGUUGUCUAGCUUAACCAACUAGCUCAGGGGUGUGCAACACAGAUUCUUGGAGAAGGGGUGGUUACAAGAAACCAACUUGAUCACGAACUCAACAUAACAGUCAGGGGACAACUUGGUGAUACUUCCAAGAAGAUAUUUGAAAAAUCACAAACCACCGAUAUGCUAUUAAUCUCGAGAACAAUCUUGCUUUUCAGGGCAAGACGAGAUGAUCAAAUAAGCAAGGGAUUGACAUAAUCCUAACUCAUUGAUCGAAGAGUGCACCAAAAAUAAGGACUAGGUAGCACAAUCUAUCUUAGAAUGAUGAUUCAAGAACCAACACACUAGGAAUGAAGUUAUUGUCCUUUAACUACCAAGUAACAAGGUUGCUAGGGGUAUUGAUUUCACACAUCAUAGUUCACCUAUCGGUAUUCCGGUUGCAACAACACAGGAACCGAUAAAUGAAUAAUGAGGACGAGAAGUAUCACUGUAUCAAGAGUUCAUUGGAUGGUGUGCAAUUCCCAUGAUAUUCUUGAUAUAAAGAUGGUAAUACUCCAAGGUAGAACAUAACAAAAGCUGGAUUGGCAUUUUGAUCUACGGAAUACAACUGCUUUGACCCAAUCAUGGAUAUGGAUGAGGUACUGGAGUUUGUUUCUCCUAGUCAUUCCGAAUAGAAUGGCUUGACGGACCACAAGAAUAAUAGGCAUCGAUAACAUGAAUGCAUAACUACUCCCGACUAUCAAUUGAUAGACGAGGGUCAGAAGACAACUAAAGAGGGACAACUCAAAGGAACAUACGAUAUUCUGAGUUGUGGAUGCAUAGAUUAGUAUGUCGAACGAGUUCAACAUAUUUCUUCCGGAUAACCCAUGCAGAAAAGUAGAACUGGCAGAGUCAUAAUAUGGAAUGGGAAACUCAUCGAGAGCACUCUUAUUGUGAUCUUUUGGUUCAAAGAACUUCUGCCAUAAGCAGUUCAUGGUAUUUGGAAGAACGAUAUACCACGAACCUCGAAGACUAUUGCAAAGGUUACUAAUAUCCUAAAGUAACUAGAAAACACUAUCAACAUGGAGUAAGUAGGUGAAUCUUGGGUUUAAGAACCCAGGAAUAGAAUGCAUACUAACUAAAUGGCAUCACGGGAUGCUUUCGAGAGUAAUGGCCAGAAUCAUCACACUGGAACACAAAACAUGGCUAGAUUACUAGGUGAUACUCUAGACACCUAGGGUCAUAAUAAUAGCUUCAACAUAUAUGCCGAGGCGAUAGAGUACCUCAACACACUAGUUAGUGCGGUUUAUCUGGCAUAAAGAAACUUCGGAAUGGCAAGAAGGGAGGUACAAAUGCAUCAGACUAUUUUAGAAACCUUGGAUGACUCGGACAUCAUAACGGCUGUAAAUGCUCAAAAUGAUUUGAGACUUCCUGCAAAAUGGUGGCAUAACCACUCAACAUCACAAUACCAAGGUUCCGAGGCCAACUAUGAACACACGGAAGUAGUAGAGACUGAACUGAGGCUUAAAUCCAUCAAUCCUAUAAGUCUACAGAUUAGUAAGAUGUGAUCUUGAUAGAAAGAAGAGGAAGCCUAGUUUGUCGGCGUUCUGGAUAUGGGGGUACCCUGACUUGCCUGCCUGCGGCCCACUACGCGGCUCCAUCGGUGGCCUGGUAUGACCCAACUUCAGCAUCGACAGCUCAAGACCCUCGCGAGGGGCCAAGCCUCGUGAGGCAGACAACGCCAAGACCCCUAAGGGAAUCAGCCUCCUCAGGUUGGCUCCCGAGGGGCGGGGAGUUCUAUGCAAGGUGCACCUCACGAGACUCAGUUGACAUGAGCCAUGAUGACCAAGGCCAGGUGGGCGCCAGCGGGCGCAGAGCGCCAGUUUCCCCUUUGGUGCAAAGGAGGCAAGCGGCAGGUGCGGAGUCCCGAGGAACCAGCCAAAGAUUUCCAUUCUGGUGCAACAAGACCAAGACCGCCAGAUGGCAGGACGGAGGUCAUCACCGAGCCCACCGCAGCGUCAUGACCAAAGGCUUUUUGCAGGCGAAGACCACUUUAGUCAGGAUAGGAUGUAGUACUUGUCCCCCUUCAAAUCCGGCCGUUGUGGGACCCCUUCCUGCCAACAUUUGGGAAGAGGACCAAGGCCACUAUAAAUAGGACUUAGCCUCCACCAAAGGGGAGGACAGAAAGAUCAGAUCCCUUCUCAUCCAGCCACCUCACCAGCUCUCUUGAGCUCAAGAACACCUCGCCUCCUGAGGUCAGUUCAUCCACUAUAGUAGUUCAUCCUCAGCCCUUCGAGGCAAUCCACCAAAAUGCUGGAGUAGGGUAUUACAACGCAAGGUGGCCCGAACCAGGAUAAACUACUGCAUCUCCUUGUCCCUUUGAGCUUGACGCGCUAGGCUUAGGAGGAUCGCGAGUAGGCAGGCUGGGUAGGUUGAGAUCUCCGCACGCACCCCAGAGUUCGAACCUACCAAGGGUUUGCCGAACCCGUAAUCCGACAUUUGGCAUGCCAGGUAGGGGUGCGUCGGAGAUCCGCUGCUCCGUCCGUCACAUCGUGCCUCCGGCUUUGAUGGCGGGAGCUCCUUCGUCGACUCGACCGUCGCGUGCCUUUGAGGGGGGCGAGGGGCUCCGCGCUUUCAACCCCUCCUUGUGACGGGUGGAUUGGCCACCUAAGUUCAAGCCAGAGAUGUCGCCUCGCUACAAUGGCACGGUGGACCCGACUGGCUUCCUCUAGGCAUACGAGGAGGCGAUCUGGGCGGCCAGCGGAAGCGACAAGGUGAAGGCCAACUGGCUCCCCAUGGCCCUCAUGGGUGCACCGUGUGCCUGGCUGCUCAACCUGCCGGCAUCCUCCGUGGCCUCCUGGGAGGAGCUGCACGGCCUCUUUGUCGCGCGCUUCAAAGCGCCGGCGCCUCUCGUCGUUGUAUCUCUCCUAGGUGGCUCGCAGGCACCACCCUCUGACCGACACAUCAAGCAGUUCUACCGCCAAGUGAGCACUGCCCAAGUGAGCCCCGGGGCCCCUCCGGGCUAGGCAACGCCUAUGGCUGACCUCGCCUUCGGACCAGAAUAUCAUCCAACAACUACGGCAGGAGCAGGCGCGCUCUCGAUGCUCUGCACCCCCACCAUCUGCAACGUGGCACUCACCAAGACCCUCAUCGAUGGCGGAGCCGGCCUCAACGUGCUCUCUGCAGAGGCAUUCGGCCUGCUACAUGUGCCCCCCAACCGGCUCCGCCCCACCAAGCCUUUCUCCGGAGUCGGUGGUGGCUUCACCAACCCCUUGGGGCAGAUCUGCCUCCCCGUCACCUUCGAGACCCGGGACAACUACCGCACCGAGCUCAUGGACUUCGACAUUGCCAGGAUUGACCUACCAUACAAUGCCAUUCCAGGGUACCCCGCUCUGGCCAAGUUCAUGGCGGCAACCCAUCCAGCCUACAACCUCAUGAAGAUGCCAAGAAGCAACGGUGUCCUCACGGUGGCAGGGGACACCAAGGACGCGCUGCAGGUCCUCAAGCUCGCUUUUAGGUCUGCGGCGUCUGUGCUGCCUGGUGAGAAAGGGGGCCCUAAGGCCCCAGGGGCAGCGCCAGCCAAGAAGAAGCAGCUGUUCUCCCAAGACCGAGCCGAGAUGAAGCAAGUGGUGGUCAAUGAAGACGGGGCAUCAAGCUCCACCUUUACCAUAGGAGCUGGCCUCCCUCAGGGCUAAGAGAAAGUGUUGGUCGACUUCUUGCACGCCAACAAGGACGUGUUCGCAUGGGAGCCCAAAGAUCUGGUUGGGGUUCCAAGGGGAAUAAUCGAGCACCACCUGAAGGUAUGCCCAAACGUGCAUCCAGUGAAGCAGAAGGCCCGCCGCCAGUCCACCGAGAAGCAGGCAUUCACUACAAAAAAAAGACACAUCCGUGACAUUUUGGGCCGAACGAAUUUUUUUUCUGUCAUACAUAUGACACUUCUAUGACGAUAAUUGUGACAAAACCCGGUAUCAUCAAUGAUGUGGUGGGCUCCUACUUCUAUGACAAAAAAUCAUGACAGAAAAUGGGCUUUUCGUCCUGGGCGGGCUGGAGACGCAGCUGCAUGACAUUCUUUGGGCCGUCCAUGACGGAAAAAACCGUGGUAGAAGCGAGGGGGAGGAAAAUUUCGGGGAGUUGCCAGUUACGGUGGGAGGUCGGGGGCGGAGCGAUGCGUGUUUCUCUCGUACGUACGCGCGUGUGUGCGAGGCGUUGGCUCUAACUGAACCCGAGCGAGGCGUUGGGCUCUAACUGAACCCGAGCGAUUGCACUGUAGGCUACGCGUUACUGAACCCGAGCGAUCGAUCAAUGGCUGUUAACUAAACCCGAUGGAGCGAUUCCUUCGCUACUGCUGCUAACUGAAGCCGAUCGAUGCUGCCUCUGGGAUGAACAGUGAGCUUUGUGGGGGUGGGGUUGGAUGAACAGUGAGCGGUGGCGUUGCCUCUGGAUGAACAGGAACCCAUGGUGUGGAGGGCUGGAUGAACAGUAAACAGUGGAGGGGUGGCCGUGGAGGGGUGGUUGAAUAGGACCCCGUGGUGUGGAGGGCUGGAUGAACAAUAGACGGUGGAGGGGUGCCCGUGGAGGGGUGGUUGAACAGUAGCCGGUGGAGUAGCGCGCGGAGGAGGCUGGAUGAACAGGAGCCUGUGGAGGCUAGAGGAGGUCGACGGUAGCCCGUGGAGGCUGGAGGAGGUCGACGGUGGAGAUGAACAUUAUCCCGUGGAGUCCCAUUUUGCGGUACGCCACACCCCUCCCGAUGAACAGGACCCCUGUUUCGACCGUUGCGCUCCAACACAAGUCCGUUUCGUCCAUUUUGCGGUAUCCACACCCCUCCCGAUCAACAGGACCCUCGUUUCGACCGUAGGAGGUCCGUUUCCUCCGUUUUGCAGUACGCCACACCCCUCCCGAUCAACAGGACCCCCGUUUUGACCGUAGGAGGUCCGUUUCCUCCGUUUUGCGGUACGCCACAACCCUCCCGAUCAACAGGACCCCCGUUUCGAACGCGGUCGGUCGAACACAAGGCCGUUUCCUCCUCUGCGGUACGCCAGGCCUUGUUUCCAUCGCCUGUUCCGUCCAAGCCCUCCCAAUGAACACGACCACGCAUUCCGUUCCGACCCAGCCGGUUGGCUCCCACGCGUUCCGUUGCCUCCCGAUGAACACAAAGCAUUCCGUUGCCUCCCCAUGAACACGACGAUGAUGCUGUUUCUCCGUUUCGCCCCAGCCAUGUACGUAUGCGUGAGUAGGCGUUCGAGACCCUGCCCGUAUGUACAUACAUGGACAUAUUUUCUUUCUUGCACCCGCGCCGCCGUACGUACGUGUACGUGCGCGCCUCUACUACGACCAGUAUGUACGUACACGUUCACGACCAGAAUGACAACACUACGUACGCUUCGACCAGGUGGGUCCCGACUAUCAGGCACUUCCUUGCGUGCGAAGAUGUAGCUGGUGGGUCCCAGCAGUCAGGGGGGCGAAUCGUUUUUUUUGCCCGGACGCACUUCCUUGCGUGCGAAGAUGUAGCUGGUGGGUCCCAGCAGUCAAGGGGGCGAAUCUUUUUUUUGCCCGGACGCACUUCCUUGAGUGCGAAGGUGUCGCUGGUGGGUCCCAGCGGUCAGGGGGGCGAAUCAUUUUGUUUUUUUGCCCGGACGCACUUCCUUGCAUGCGAAGAUGUAGCUGGUGGGUCCCAGCAGUUAGGGGGAAACAUUUUUUUCGCGAAAUACAGUGGCCCGUCCGGUGGGUCCCAGCUGUCAAGUGGAAGAAUCAUUAUUUUCCGCGUAAUAAGGAGGCACUUCCUUGCUGCGGCCGUGGACCCAGCUGUCAGCCUCUCCACGUAUAGUCCACGUCCGAUGGAAGUCGUUCCUUGACCACGUUGACCACACUGCGCCGAGAGCACUAUUGCGAUGGACGACGGCAAGGCCUAGGAAGGGGACGACGGGGAGCCGGGGAAGACGCGGCAGUGGAAGGCCACACGGAGAGGAGUACGAGGGUUCACUGGUUCGGCUGCGGUGUGAGGCUGCCAUCACCGCAGGGCCUGGCCAGCGGUGGGAAUAGUAGGGGGCGGUGAGGCCACCGCGGCAGCACAGCCGGCCAUGGGAGGUAGAGCAUGCAGCACGACCGACGCUGCUUUGGGCGGCUGGAGCAAGAAGACCGGAGGUUGAAGAAGCACUACGACCGUUGGAUGGACAUCGUACGGUCACUGGAGCUAGAAUCGUUCAUAUUGACUAAAGUUGACAAAGGCCCCCGUCCCAGUUAACUUAGUAGGCCCACAAGUCAGCCUCCCACCAUGGUGGGUCCCAGCUAGCAAGGGGAGUAUUCAUUUUUUUUGUGCGUAAUAAGGAGGCACUUCCGGUGGGUCCGAGCUGACAGCGCGGGGAACAUUUUUUUCGCGAAAUACGAUGGCCCGUCCGGUGGGUCCCAGCAGUUAGGGGGAAAUGUUUUUUUCGUGAAAUAAGGUGGCCCGUCCGGUGGGGCCCCGCUGAUAGGUGGAGGAAUAAUUAUUUUGCGCGUAAUAAGGAGGCACUUCCUUGCGGCCGCCUGGACCCAACUGUCAGCCUCUCCACGUACAGUACUCUUCCGAUGGAAGUCGGUCAUUGACCAUGUUGACCACACCAUGCUGAGAGCACCAGGGCGGUGGUCUGGACGACGACGAGGCCUAGGAAGGGGACGACGCGGAGCCGGGGAAGACGCAGCAGUGGUAGCCCGCGCGGAGAGGAGUACGAGGCUUCACUGGUUCGGCUGCGGCGUGAGGCUACCGUCGCCGCAGAAUAACAGGGGGUAUGGGUGAGUAGAGGGAUACCCUGGGCCAGUGGUGGGAGUAGUAGGGGGCGGUGAGGCCUCCACGGCAUCACAGCCGGCCACGAGAGGCAGGAGCACGCGACACUACCGGCGCUGCUUUGGGCGGCUGGAGCAAGAAGACCAGAGGUUGAAGAAGCACUAUGGCUGUUGGAUGGACAUCGUACGGUCACUGGAGCUAGAAUCGUUCAUAUUGACUAAGUUAACAAAGCCCUCCGUCCCCGUCAACUUAGUUGGCCCACAAGUCAUCCUCGCACUAUGGUGGGUCCCAUCUAGCAGGGUGGGUAUUCAUUUUUUUGUGCAUAAUAAGGAGGCACUUCCUUGCGUGCGAAGAUAUAGCUGGUGGGUCCGACAUGUCAGCGGGGGGAACGUUUUUUUCGCGAAAUACAGAGGCCCUUCUGGUGGGUCCCAACUGUUAGGUGGAGGAAUCAUUAUUUUGCACAUACAGUCCAUGGCCGAUGUAUCUCGUUCGUUGACCAUGUUGACCAGGCCGCGCCGAGAGCACCAUGGCGGUGGACGACGGCGAGGCUUAGGAAGGGAACGACACGAAGCCUGGGAAGACUCGGCAAUGGUUGCCCACAUGGUGGGGAGUACGAGGGUUUACUGGUCCGGCUGCCAUCGCCGGAAAAUAACAGGAGGUCUGGGUGAGUAGAGGAAUGGCCUGGCCAGCAAUGAAGUAGGGUGGGGCGGUGCGGCCUGUGCGGCAGCACAACCGGCCACGAGAGGCGGGAGCAGGCAGUCCCACCGGAGCUGGUUUGGGCGGCUGGAGCAAGAAGAUCAGAUAUUGAAGAAGCAGCACGGCCGUUGGAUUAACAUCCAAUGGUCACUGCUGCUAGAAUCGUUUGUGGACUAAGUUAACAAAGCCAAAGUACACGUCAACCUAGUAGACCCACAAGUCAGCCUCCAAAUCUGUCCCAAACAGCAUACGACCCGAAAUUUCUAGUCGGAUUCAAAUUAAUUUUAAAUCUAAAUAUACCUUAAUUUAAAUUCAAUGAAAUUUUACCCGCACAAAAACAAUGAAAUUUAAAAUAUCAAAAUCCAAAAGAAAACAACAUUUUGGGAACUAAUUGCCUGUUUGCUGUAAUUUUUUCAUUUUACAGCCCAUUUAUUAUUACUUAUAGCCCAUUUUCUGGGCAAAAUGCAUCCCUCCUCGUCUUGAAAGAUUUCCGGCCCAGCAGGGCGUAGAAAAGCAAGUAGGCCUAUGUUGGUUAUUCUGCAAAAAACAAAAUAGCUGGCUAGCCAUUUUUCAGAAAGGAAAAAAACAAACUGGGCUGGUCAUGUGCUAAACAUAUGAAAUAAAAGCCUGGGCUAGACGGGCCACAGGUCCCGCACAACCCAUUUGAUACCCUUCUCCGUCCCGAAAAAACAAAAUUACUGCGCGCGCUGCUGGGUCCCUACUGUCAUCGUCACCAUGUACAAUCAUCUCCUUAUUCCUCUCGGUUGUUGACCAUGUUGACAACACCGGAGGGCGGCGCCGCGGCGAGCGUGGAGGACGAUGGUGAGGCCUCGGACGGGAACGAAUAGGAGCCUGGGAAGAUCAUAGCCAGCCGUGGGAGGUGGGAGCAGGCGGUCCUGCCGGCGCUGGUUUGGCUUUGGUGGCUCGAGGAAGAAGAGACUGAAGAAACGCGAUAGACAUUGAAUGUCAAUCAAACGGUCAAGGUUGGCACAAUCGUUUUUUGACUAAGUGGACACCAAGUAGCAUACUUUUUUAUAUAUAGGAAGAAAACUGCGAGGAAAAUGCGUUCGUCUGCCGUCCUCCUCACAGGGAACAUUCGCCACAUAAGUGACUAGCACCCUUGGUUUUCAACCAAGAGGUCUUGGGUUCGAAUCCGAGGAACUCUCAAUUUUGUCCUCCUUCCUUCCUCGCAAAAAAAUGGAAAGAAAAUCAAAGACUCGGGAAGACGUACAAAACAAGCUAAUGUACCAGUAAAGAGACGUUGCCGAGUUUUAGAAAAAAGAAAGACGUGCUCCUGUAGCUGGUUCGAAUCCAAACCUAGACUAUAACUAUAUAUGGUGCUAUGCUACUCUGCAAGUAAUGAAACUGACAUAUCCAACAUUCGCUUCUCCUCUUCUCUACUUACUCUGCCUAGCAUCAGAAGCUCUGGCCGCAGCAACCAUGUCCGCUGGCUGCUCGUCCACCUGCUCUUCAGCAGGCAACAACCAGAUAUGCGCCAAGUUGCCACCCGUACCAUCGCCUGUGGGUCUCAUCACACGCCCGCCGGCACGCGCACUGCAACUGAUUGCUCAUCGCAACCCACUACCGUUGGUGUGGUGCCAUUGCUGCAAAUUACGCAGAGUCAUCCGUCGCGUCUCAACCACAAUCCGCAACCCUGGCCGAGUCUUCUACAAAUGCCCGAAUCAUGGGGUAAUAAUAUGUUUAAGUGUUCUUAUGCUGCUUUCAAUUGCUGAUUUUUUUAAUAGUUUGGUUGAUGAUCUUCCAAUUUGAUUCGUGCAGAAAAGGGAAGAUUUGUGUGAUUUGUAUUUCUGGGAAGUUGCUGAUGUGGGGGAAUGCAACUAUGCUGAUUAUUUGGUUAGCCGAGAAAUCCCAAUACCAGCAGGUUGGGGUGUUGGACAAGUAACUGAAGGAACGACAGAAGAGGAAGAUGCAGAGCAGAAGGUUAAAGACGCAGUUCCUUUGAUCAUGGCCAAGCAACAACUGCUGAACGGCCUUGACAGCAAUGAGGAGAUGAAAGAGCUUGUGAAGAUAAUGGGCAAAAUCGAUGUGCUCUGUAGGAUGAUUGUCUCUUUAUUUGCAGUGUAUGUAGCACUCGUGAUGUAUUCAGUGGCUAUGACAUGAGCACUUUGCUGAAACUAGUAAUGAAUGAAACCUGCGUAGCAGGCUGGGCAUAGUGUUGUGAACAUCUAAUGAUUUCUAUUAACAGAAAUCAGGGGGUAUCCCCUUUUGCUCAUUAAAUAAAUAGAUAGCAGAGGCCCUGUCGGGUCAGGUUUGUUCUCAUUCGAAGACGUCGAGCAAAUUGCGGUCCAACAGCAAACUAUGUCAUCAAAUUGAAGUUUCACACCCAAAUAUGAGUACAACUAAACAACAAUGUCAUCAUGUUUUAGUUGUCAUACAAUCACCAAACACAAAUCAGCAUACAUAACAAGUGAUGUUCUCACAGCAAAAUACUAAACAACAUGUUCAUCAGGUUUCAGUUGUCAUAGCAAACACAAUUUCACAUAGUAGAUAAAAAACGUCUUCUAACAGGCAAAUACGACAAAAGCAAUGUAAUCAUCAUCCGCAGCAGCAGCGUCAACAUCUUCGCCAUGUGUAUCAGUCUGAAUCGUAAUUCCCCACGGUGUCAUCUUCUUCUUCAUCCUCAACGUCCUCGAACAUUGGCUUCUUCUUGAUCAACUCUUGUAUGUCCAUAGCAUGAUAGGCAAUCUUUUCGCCGGCGUCAUUGACGUGAUGGUUCUCAAAGUUGUUAGGAACAUAUGUGUUAUCUUGUACAUCAGGAGCAGUGUAAGCAUCAUCUUGUUGUGCAACUUCAUUAAACGAAUUCCUCUGCUCAAACCUUUGCAAUACUCUCCAGCCAUCGCUACGUGCAAAUGUGUCUUCCAAGAAAAAUAUCUGUGUUGCUUGAUUUGCCAAAAUAAAAGGCUCGUUGGUCUGGUACACCGCCUUGACAUUGAUGGAUUUGAAAUAAUCAUCAGCUCUGGGUUUUGCGAUCCUGGAAAAUAGGUUAUACCAACGACAGCACAACAGAACCACACACCGAUGAUCCUCGAAACUGGAGAUAUACUGCAACUGAACAAUGUCUGUUAUGUUAGCAUACAUUUCAGUUGUCUCUUUGUCAUACAUAUCCGUGCUCAUUAUGGCACUGUUUUGUGUCUUCCUGCCUUCGUCUCGUGCAAGGGUGUUGUAGCGCACAUCUCCAACAACGCAAGAUUCAUAAUGUCUUACCCGAGUAUCAGGACCCAUUGCUAGUGAGUAAAGGGCAUCAUCAACUGCCUGCCCAUCCUCCCGCAUCUUCUUAACCUAUGGUUAGAAAAUAGACAAGCUGAUCAUCUUAUGUACUCAAUAUAUUAAAAAAACUGACAGUGCACUUCAAAAGCUUACAUGGUUCUUGAACCAUUUCACAAAUCCUGCCAUAACCAGUUUGUCAAUGUUUCUUGGAUUUUGCGGCAGUAACUCCUCUUUGUACAUGCUGCACAACAUAGUGAUCACGUCAAACAUCUAAAUAUAUAAGAAUGUGCUGCAAGUUUAGUAGAUUAUGAUGUAUAAGCUGCAGUACUGCACUUACUUGAUAUAAGGUAGUAUCUCAGGACAGUUAUUCAACACAUACCAAACCAUUUUGUCCAAAUCUUUAGGUUUGUCCUCUUGUCGACUCUUCCCUGUAACUCGAACAGAAUAAUCGAAAACACUGAGCCCGGGAUUGUCUUCACCCACCUCUUUGCUAAGCUGAUCAGCUGUUUCAAUGUAUUUUGAGCAGAAUGUCAACGCUUCUGUAGCAAUGUAGGCCUCUGCAAUGGAACCCUCAGGUCUAGCUCUGUUCCUAACAUAGCCCUUGAAAGUGCCUAGCCGCCUUUCAAUAGGGUAAAUCCAGCCAUACUGUACUGGACCUCUAAGUAGUGCCUCAUCAGGUAGAUGAACAACCAAAUGCACCAUCACAUCAAAGAAGGCCGGAGGAUAUAUCUUCUCAAGGUCGCAUAGGGUAGUUGGUAUCUUGUCUCUAAGAUGCUCCAAACCAUAUAUCCUGAUAUUUCUACUGCAGAGUUCCCUGAAGAAUUGUCCCAACUCUGCAACUGCUCUGUAUAAGUCAGGGCGGCCCAAUCCUCUAAGGAUAACAGGUAAAACCCUUUGAAGUAGGACGUGUCAGUCAUGAGUUUUCAACCCUUGUACCUUGUUUCCAUCUGCACUGACUCUCCUUUCAGGGUUGGAAGCAAAUCCAUGUGGCAAUCUCACACGUGACAGGACCUCAUAGAAUUCUUUUCUUUUUACCUUGUCCAAGAUGUACACAGCUGGUGCCAUAUCCCGUGGUUUACCUUCAUCUUGCACCUGCAAAUCCUUUCUGAUACCCAGGUGUGUCAAAUCAAUCCUAGAUUUUAAGGUAUCUUUCGUCUUGCCUUCAAUGUUAAGAAGUGUGCCGAUAAUGCUGUCACAUAUAUUUUUCUCGAUGUGCAUCACAUCAAGAUUAUGCCGCAGAUCCAAAUCUUUCCAAUACUCCAAGUCCCACAAAGUGGACCUGCGGGUAAACAAUAAUCUCUUCUACCGUGCCAUGCUUCCUUUUCCCGCUACCAUUACCAGGAUGGUUUCCUGGUGUAAUAUGCCUGACCUUCUCUAAUUCCACUUGCAACUCAUCGGCGGUGAGCCUCUUUGGCGCAUCACGGUUUUCAUGCUUUGCAUUGAACACAUGUCUUUGGUAUUUUCUAGGAUGCGGCUUGUCCUUGGCAAGGAAACAGUGGUGUCCAAUGUAACAGGUCUUGCUAAGUAUUGCGUAUGACAGCGGAUUCCUGUCACAGCGAACACAUGCAUUGUAACCAUGUGUCGUUUGCCCUGACAUAGUGCCCAAAGCCGGAUAAUCAUGGAUGCACCAAAUUACAACAACACGCAGAAAGAAAUCAGCUGGUGGGCUUCUAUAUAGGUCUCGAGUGAGAACACCCUUCCAUAGCUGUUGAAGUUCCUCCACAAGAGGCUCCAUGAACAAAUCAAAAUCCUUUCCAGGACUUUUUGGACUUGGGAUGAACAAGGCCAUCAUGUAGUUUGAUUCUUUGGUGCAGACAUUUGGAGGCAUGUUGUAAGGGAUAACAAGCACUGGCCACAUGCUAUAUGUGGCGCUCUGGUGGCCAAAUGGGUUAAAUCCAUCUGAAGCUAAGCCAAGUCUAAUGUUUCUCGGGUCAGCAGCAAACUCUUUGUGUUUAUCAUUGAAGCUUUUCCACUCACUACCAUGAGAUGGAUGGCUCAUUACAUUCUGAUCUCUGUACUCCUAGUUCCUAGAAUGCCACAAUACAUCCUCUCUUGUUUCAGCAUCAUGAAACAACCUCUGCAAUCUUGGUGUAAUUGGAAAAUGUCUCAGAACAUUAUGAGGAACCCUCUUCACAGCUUCACCAUCUUUCCAUCUUGAUGAUUUGCAUUUGGGGCAUUCACUUAAGUUGGCAUAAUCCUUCCGGAACAGAACACAAUUAUUCUUACAAACAUGGAUCAUAUCAUAUCCAAUUCCAACUACACGAAGGAAAUUCUUCAUUUUACUGUAGGUGUGUGGCAGCUCAGACGCAUCUGGGAAAGAUUUGCGGAAAGCAACCAACAUCGCAUCGAAUGAUUUGUUGGUCAUCCGCUCAGAUGUCUUCACCUGAAGAAAGGUGACCAUAGCUGAGAAUACUGACAGCUUAUUUCCUGGGGUGACAACAAUGUUGUAUUGUUCCAACAUGCAGGCCCACCGUUUUUCUUCUACAGGUGAAAGUUCACGGAAUGCACGAGCAUUUCGUAGCAUUGUUUCAAUGUUGGUCAAGCUCACUGGCUCCGCCACCACCACCUCCUCCUCCUCUUCCACCUGAGCAUCAAGCAGAUCAAGAUGGUGAUCUGCUGCUUCCACGUAGUCAAUAACAUUGACGUUCACAGCUUCACCAUGAUGAACCCACCUAGUAUAUGUGACCGACAUCCCAUACAAGUGUAGAUGAUUUUGCACAGUUGACUGGGGUCUUGUAACUGAAUUCAUACAACUGCUACACCGGCAGAGCACAUCUGAUUUCUGACCACCGUACUCAGCUCUGAUAAAGUUCAUGAAGUUUUCAACCCCCUCGACAUAUGCAGCGGAGAAUCUUCAAGCAGAAGUUAUCCAAGUCCUGUCCAUCUGUUAGACAUACAAAUUAGUUCUUCUACUAGAUAUUAUAGGAAAAACAUAUAUGCUUUUUUAUGAAGUCCAGAAAAAAAUACGUAGGUCGAUGUCUAAAGCUAUGGCAAGAUAUUUGGACGAGCAGAUCUAAGUAACGAAAUAUAUGUAAAGCUAAUUCAGCAAACAGAUUUGAGUGCUAAAUUAUGGCAGGCUGUUUCAGCAGUCAAUGAGCCCGAGCACACAGCCAUCGAACUAUCGAAGGCCAUCGCAGCAACAAAGAUCGAGUAUAAAACGGUGUAGAGCUAUUUCACCUAACAGAUUGGCUACUAGACCAUGGCAAUCUACGUCACAGUAAAUAUAUGGCAGGAUAUUUUAGCAACUAAUCGGCCUUGGCAUGCCAUCUCAGCUAAGUAGAUUGAGUGCAGAACAGGGCAAGGAAGCUUCUUAAGCAGAGCAUAUUGAUAGUAAACUACUUCGGCAAACAGUGAGAUUAACAUCGUCUAUCAGCUAACAUUCAGCGCUACACCGACAUGAAUGGGGCCUCAGUCUAGAAUGCGCGUACCGUGGGAGAAGCUGACCGCCGUGCGUCUCCACACGAACGUCGCCAGCGGUGGCGGCGCUGACCGCCAUGCGCCUCCACAAGAAUGUAGCCAGAGGUGGCGGCGCAGCUAGAGGACGGCAGUCUACGAGAGCAUACUGUGGGAGCGAGAGGAUCGCCGUGCGUCCCCUUGAAGAACCGCGGCGCCGACGUAUCGGCACGGCGGGGAGGGCGGCUUUGGCGGAGCGAAUGGAGUNNNNNNNNNNNNNNNNNNNNNNNNNNNNNNNNNNNNNNNNNNNNNNNNNNNNNNNNNNNNNNNNNNNNNNNNNNNNNNNNNNNNNNNNNNNNNNNNNNNNNNNNNNNNNNNNNNNNNNNNNNNNNNNNNNNNNNNNNNNNNNNNNNNNNNNNNNNNNNNNNNNNNNNNNNNNNNNNNNNNNNNNNNNNNNNNNNNNNNNNNNNNNNNNNNNNNNNNNNNNNNNNNNNNNNNNNNNNNNNNNNNNNNNNNNNNNNNNNNNNNNNNNNNNNNNNNNNNNNNNNNNNNNNNNNNNNNNNNNNNNNNNNNNNNNNNNNNNNNNNNNNNNNNNNNNNNNNNNNNNNNNNNNNNNNNNNNNNNNNNNNNNNNNNNNNNNNNNNNNNNNNNNNNNNNNNNNNNNNNNNNNNNNNNNNNNNNNNNNNNNNNNNNNNNNNNNNNNNNNNNNNNNNNNNNNNNNNAAUAUUUGGCCGAAGGGCGGUUGAAUCGAAUUUGGGGGGAAUUUGUGUGUGUGUGUGUGGGGGGGGGGGAGUUUGGCGCAUGGUCGGUUUCUCCAAGUGCAGUCCCACGUGUCAGUGAAGAGGCAAGCCGAAGCGCGUUCCGUUUGCGUGAGCCGUGUGCAGGACCGAACGUGUGUGGGGUGCAAUGCGACCGCGACAGGCGCCUUUUUUCCUUUUAAACUAGGUGCUUCGCCCCCUCAAAAAAAUGUUGCUUCGCGCGAUCCAUCGAUACUACUACUGGUAAUCCGGUAAUCCCGACUAAUAAAACGGCGCAGCCGGGUCUUUUCCCGCGCGAUAUGCUGGGAGGUUGGCUUAGUUGGGUUUUUUAGAUUUGUCUCGGUUCAAUAAAAAGCAGAGUUGGUGAUGAUGGUG
RNAcentral lists this long non-coding RNA (26254 nucleotides) under Triticum aestivum (bread wheat). Its description in RNAcentral is "long non-coding RNA (TAES_LNC022760)". The stretch from base 1393 to 1551 matches the Rfam family "MIR1120/MIR1122 microRNA precursor family". Lineage: Eukaryota; Viridiplantae; Streptophyta; Magnoliopsida; Poales; Poaceae. The record is from RNAcentral.